This 257-nucleotide long non-coding RNA is filed under the name Arachis ipaensis. RNAcentral describes it as "long non-coding RNA (AIPA_LNC001257)". The record is from RNAcentral. Lineage: Eukaryota; Viridiplantae; Streptophyta; Magnoliopsida; Fabales; Fabaceae.
GUUCAUUCUCAAAUGUAGCACGCCAGGACAAACACAGGCAAGACAGACAAGGAAAGCACAAGUAGGUAGCAGUUACAGCAAAUAGUUCAAGUAGCAGUUAAGAACAGUUUAGCAAUUAGGCAAACCAAAACAAGUUCAAACCCAAGCAAAGCAUACAAAUGCAUAUGAUGCAUGCCUGUCCUAUGGCUGAUGAGGCUCAUCUGUCGGUUAUCCAGCCAACCCGACAAGUCUGAAUUGUCCUUAGACUGUCCCCGGAC